CCCAGCACCCCACCGCUCUCCCUCUCUCUGUUUCCCCAGGUUGGGGCUGGCAGCCCUCCACUACUUUCUGUUCCUUCGUCAACGUUGACUCUUGCCUUGGACAGACCGAGCUGCUGACUGGCCCCUUCUCUCCACUCUCUGGCUAGAAGAUGACUGAAGCCCCUCCGGGGAUCUGCAAAACCUGCCAGACAGAGGGCCUGGAGUUAAGGGUUGCCGACGACAUCUAUGCUCCUUUGGGAGGUGGCGAGCGAUCUGUUCCGAGAGGUGCUCGAGCAGAAGACAGAGCCUUUUGUCAAGGACGUGGCAGAAGAGAUUUGAACAUAGAUUCAAACAUUCUUAGACUGACAACACCCUCUGUGAUGGUUAAUACGACUCCAAGUUCUUCAGCUUUGGGACGCGGACUGGCUGUCUUUGCUCCUCAGCUUGCAGAUGGCCUAUGGUGGGACCCUGUGAUCGUGUGAGUUAAUACUUAAUAAACUCUCCUUUAUAUAUCUAUCUAUCCUAUUAGUUCUGUCCCUCAAAAGAACCCUGACUAAUACACCCUUCUAACUGGGCUCCUUGCCUCAGACUUCUUUGCAACCCUCCAACUCCCCAGUCACUAUCCACACUGAUCUGGUCUGAGCAUUCCCAGACAUCUAUUCUUCCAAUGUGUCCCAUCUUCUUCCAGAAAACUCAGGAAAUGUUCUUUCAAUGAAUGAAUGAACAAAUGAACAAACAAACAAAGAAGGUGGCAAGACCAUCAAAGCACAUAAAAGUGAGGGACUUGGGCCUCAGGCUUUAGGGAGCCACGAGGUCCUGUAAAGCCCUUAAGGACAAGGUCAUAGCUCUUCGAAGCGUGGGCUGGAGGAAGAGGAGGCAGGACAGUGCUCCUGGGUGCCUGUCCCUUCCCAUGGGAUGAGAGGCAGAGUGCAGCCUCCGGCCUCUGGCACAUCUGGUGUGAGAUUCACAAGCUUCUUCCCUUGUGCAGCUCUCUGGGCUGUUCUGAGAAUCAUUUGGGACAUUGUGUGUGAUAGUGUCGUGAAAAUCCAAGUCAAACAAUCUUUGAGAGAGAGGAGAGAGAGAGAAAGAAAGAGAGAGAGAGGCUGAAGAGACUCCACCUGACACUCCACUUACACACACACUCACCUGGAGGCUGCACACUCCCACCAACCCCUGUGUGGCUUCUGUACGAGCAGGAAGCGUUUCUCAAUCACACACAUGAGAGCUGGGGUCAUCUGGGGUUGCUGAUAACAAAGCAGACAGGAUCUGCUUCCCUUCAGCAAAUACCACAGGCCAACUUGCAUAGAGCCCUCCUCUUUAGAGGGUCUGGGGUGGGGCUCAGCAUCUGGAUGGUGGCUGAAUCCAGGCUGGGAUGUUUUGCCAGGAGAGGCCGAGCAAGUGCCAGAGAAAGGGAAAGGCUGGGCCGUCUCACGCAGCUAGGGCUUUCUGGGUCUUCCCCCAAAGCUCACUGAGGUCUGCUGGAUAACACGCUUAUUCCAGUGUCUACAGGUGACAGGAUCCAGGCCAAGAGCCCCCAGAGCCAAGAUAGAAGAGCCAAGGGCUUCUUGGACAGCUUUUCCCUAUGUUUGCAGCGAACCUAUUUCCAUGUCAUUAUCGUAUUAUGUAAGCAUAAUAGCUUGUUCAUCAAGAUUUCCAAGGACUAACAAAUACAGCGCGUAUCAAAAACUAGUAUCAAAAACUAGUAAUCCAAAGUACACUGAUUAAUUAUAUAUACAGUUGCUAUAAAAUCAGUAAACAUUACAUAUGAAAGUUAAGUGAUGAUUUAGAAUAAUAAUUAGGCUAGAAAUGCGAAACUGUAUUACAUGCAUACUCAAUGUUUGUUAAACAAAGAAAAUAACUCACAAAUGUUUUCAGUGGGUGGAAAUGAAAGCCAAGGAAGAAGAGGAAAUUUCACAGAAUGGAAACUGGUUGGUGUCCAGGUGGAACGCACACAGCAGCACUCCACCCUGCUCUCAGCAGGACAGUUGGGGUUGGUGUCUGGGCAGCAGCGAGAGGAACACAGGCAGGAGAACCCAGAGGACACCCAGGGGACACAGGGGUCCCGCAAACAGCUCACCAGCAACUGAAGCAAUAGGGAGAGUUGGAAGUUCUUGAAGUGAGGAAGGAAAGUCGAAUUUAGCAGGAGGAGGUAAUAAUGGCUCAUCUUGAUUGAGUGUUCACUACGGGCUCUGCUGUUUUCUCUUUUCUUUCUUUCUUUCUUUCUUUCUUUCUUUCCUUCUUUCUUCCUUCCUUUCUUUCUUUACUUUCCUCCCUUCCUUCUUUCUUUCCUUCCUUCCUUCCUUCUUUCUCUUUCUUUCCUUCCUUUAUUCCUUCCUUCUCUCUUUCUCUCUUUCCUUCCUUCCUUCCUUCCUUCCUCACUCCCUCCCUCCCUCCCUUCCUUCCUUCUCUCUUUCUCUCUUUCUUUUUUGUUUUUGACAGAGUCUUGCUCUGUCACCCAGGCUGGAGUGCAGUGGUGUGAUCUUGUCUCACUGCAACCUCUGCCUCCUGGGUUCAAGCAAUUCUCCUGCCUCAGCCUCCCAGGUAGCUGGGAUUACAGGUAAGUGCCACCACGCCCAGCUAAUUUUUGCAUUUUUAGUAAUGUUGGCCAGGAUGAUCUCGAUCUCCUGACCUUGUGGUCCACCCGCCUCGGCCUCCCACAGUGCUGGGAUUCAGGCGUGAGCCACCGCGCCCGGCCUGCUAAGUGUUUUCUAUGCAUGAUUUUGUUUCAUCACAUACAACCCUUUGCGGGAAGUGAUGUUAUUAUUAUCACCACAUCUAUCUAUAGAUGGAGAAUCUGAUGCUCAGAGAACUGAAAUAACUUCCCCAAGCCACAGGCAGCUGCCCAGUGGUCAGCAGAGUUUCUGGACCUGACGGCCUAAUGCCAAAGCCCAGGUGACUAACCGCCGUGCGACGCUGCCUCUAUGAGGCACCAGGCCAGCGUCAAAGCCUGGAUGUCUCCCGCAGCCUUGCUCCGGAUUAUGUCCUCUAGUGGGGUGUUUAUUUCUGCAGGGGGUGGGGAGGCAAACGUGUGCAAUGCGUGUUUAUUUUUCUAUUUGUGCUAAAAUAGUAAAGAUUUCCGUUUCUGGAAAGCACACUUGACUAGAAUUGUUUGAGGGAGGUGGACUCUUGACCCCUGCAUCCAGAACCCUGGGGUGGAUCUCAACUCCAGGCUGAGCACCUGGGUGGGACGGCUCUCCACAGAACCAGCCUUGGAAGCCAAGUCAAUCAAGUGGCAGCAGACUUCUGCAGACGCGAGGAACUCACCAUCACACACGCAUUUCACAAUCUCAAAAAUGAUCUUUUAAGAUUUUUAGAUAUUUUUCUCUUGACACACGAGGGUGCCUCUCUGGAACUGGGAACAACGUAGAGACUCAGAGCCAUUCCUUCACAGCUAGCAGGAAGGAAGGCUGCUGUUCUUUCGUUUCUUUUUCUUUUCCUUUCUUUUUUCUUUUCUUUCCUUUUCUUUUUUUUUUUUUUUUAGAUGGAGUUUCGCUCUUGUUGCCCAGGCUGGAGUGCAGUGGCAUGAUCUCGGCUCACUGCAACCUCUGCCUCCCCGGUUUAAGUGAUUCUCCUGCCUCAGCCUCCCGAGUAGCUGGGACUACAGGCACCCGCCACCACACCUGGCUAAUUUUUGUAUUUUUAGUAAAGACAGGGUUUCACUGUGUUGGCCAGGAUGGUUUCGAUCUCUUGACUUCGUGAUCUGCCCGCCUUGGCCUCCCAAAGUGCUGGGAUUACAGGUGUGAGCCGCCGUGCGUGGCCUCUACCUUUUUUUAAAAUUGUUACUUGGAGAAUGUCAUUAGGGAAGGUGCGUGCCAGAUUUUCUCACUCAGUGUUUGAAUGUUUUUUCUUAAGCCCAUACAACUCCAAUCAUAACUUUUAUUAAAAUGCAAGCCAGGUGCCGACAUGCGUGGUUCUCUGCCCUGACACACGGCAGGCCUGGCUGAGUCCUGGUGAAGACGCCCAAAAUAAACCUGUCUGUGUCAGUGGGGACUUGCCAACUGCCGUGACAUUCAACCCUGAAGUCUCAGGGGCUUCAUUCAGUGCACGCUGCUGCCUCAGACCCUGUCCAGGACAGGUUGCGGGAGGGUGCUGCUGUGCACACCCACUCAGGACCCAGUCUCCUUCCCUGGCGUGGUCUCCCUGUCUUCCAGAGCCUCGGAGCCUCCUCCUGGAUUUUCUGCAGCAGCGUGACAGGCAGGGAAGCAGCAACCGUGACAGGUGUCACGGGUGGUUUGAAAGCGUCCAGGCUGGAAGUGGAGUAUGUGGCCUACCUAGAUGUGAAGGCUGAAUUUUGUCCCCUUCAAUUCACAUGUUAAAAAUCCUAACCCUCAGUACCUCAGAAUGUGGCUGCAUAGAGAGCAGAGCCAUUUGAAGAGGCAGUUAAGUUAGAAUGAGGCUGUUAGGGUGGGCCCUUAUCCAAUCUUAUUGGUGUCCUUAUAAGAAGAGGAAAUUUGGCACACAGAGUGGCUCAAUGGACUUGCACACAGAAGGUAGUCAUCUACAAGCCAAGGAGGGGGGUCUCAGAAGAAACCAAACCUGCUGACACCUUGAUCUUGGACUUCCAGCUUCCAGAGCUGUGAGGAAAUAAAUGCCUGUUGUUUAAGGGACGCAGUCUGUGGUGUUUUGUUGUGGCAGCCCUAGAAAACGGAUGCACGUGGUAGCAGGAUGAACCCAGGGUAGGAGCCUUCCUUAGCAGUCUCUGCCACAGCCUGUCAUUGGCUUUCCUCCCAGGGGAGGAUAAGCAAAGUCCCAUCCAGUCCCUGUAUCUAGCUCCAAAUUUAGGAACUUUGGGUUGUUGGGAUGUUCAAAACCCUUUAAACCCAGUCUCCUGGCUUCGUUGGCAACACAGUUCUCUCAACAACUUAGGAGGCUUCUAAUCUAUUUGUGUCCCAUCAAUUCUCACAGCUCUGGAGGCUGGAAGUCCAAGAUCAAUGUCUCAGCAGGUUUGGUUUCUUUUUUGUUAUUGUUUUUGUUUUUGAGACAGAGUUUCGCUCUGGUUGCCCAGGCUGGAGUGCAAUGGCGCAAUCUCAGCUCACUGCAACCUCCGCCUCCCAGGUUCAAGUGAUUCUCCUGUCUCAGCCUCCCGAGUAGCUGGGAAUACAGGCAUCUGCCACCACACCCAGCUAAUUUUUGUAUUUUUAGUAGAGGUGGGGUUUCUCCAUGUUGGCCAGGCUGGUCUCGAACUCCUGACCUCAGGUGAUCUGCCCAACUCAGCCUCCCAAGGUGCUGGGAUUACAGGUGUGAGCCACCGUGUCCAACCUGCUUUGGUUUCUUCUGAGAUCCCCCUCCUUGGCCUGUAGAUGGCUGCCUCUGUGUACAAGUUCAUUGAGCCACUCUGUGUGCCAAAUUUCCUCUUCUUAUAAGGAUACCAGUCAGAUUGAAUAACAUGCUAUUAAUUAUACCCCUAUUUUUUUUCCGAGUCAUAAUUCUCAAUGCUGCCUUCUUUCUGUUUGCUUCCUCAUGCCAUUCUUUCUUAACAUAAUGAUGGCUAUGUUGAGGCUAUCAGACUUGGGUAGAAAGGUACAAUCCAUGAGUUGAUGUUUGCCUCAGAGGUGAUUCACUGUGUUUAGUGAGAAGAAAGAUUCAUUGGGUCUUCUUUGUUCAAAACCUUUUAAAAUUCAGACACUGAACAGUGUCUGAGAGAGAAACUUUCAUUGUACUAAACACAGGGGAUUGUUACAACAGUUAGCAGAUCUCCACUAAUACGAGAUUAAUUUUAUCUGGGGAGGUAGAAAAAUAAGGCCCAAAGAGGAAAGAGUUUUCUAGAAGAGGUCAUUUUUUUUCCCCAUUGCUGCGUGUCCCGAAUUUCUGAUUCUCUCCAUUCUGUUUCAUUUCUUCUUGUGAAUUGAGCAGUUCUUUUCUGAGCUCAUUGUUUUUCUUGUAAUAUCUUGCCGAAUGCAGCAACAACAAGCAAAACAGCAUAAUAUUCUUGUUUACUCGUUUCCUUCCGCCUCUCCUAGAGCAUGUGUUUUUUACUUCCAGGUUAUAAUAGGCAAUAGUUUUUACCAAAUGUUUUGUCUGUCUGAGUAUAACAUGGAUCUCCAGUUACCUAACCCGCUACAUCUCUUUCCUUUUUGCUCAGCCUUUGUAUUUUAGUUUUUGUCAUGGAAGUACCCCACUUCAAGAAAUGAAUUAUUAUAUUAGUCAAAAAAUACUAAUUGCUGAAACGAACAGCUGCCAAAUCUCAGUGGAACGUAACAAUUAAUACAAAAUAAACAUUUUAUCCUCCUCAUGUCACAGUGCAAUGUUGAUUGACUCGAGUGGAAGUGACAGAAGUGAGAGCUCUGCUCCAUGUUGUCACUCAGGGAUCCAUUGUUCCAUUAAUUCAGGGAUUUAACAGGUGAAUUAUCUUUUAAGAUUUUUAGAUAUUUUUCUCUUGACACACAAGUUCCAUUGUGUGGCUUGGGUACCUGGUAGGGCACUGAACCUUUUCGCUGGAUUCAGAUAACUGGUUGGCAGGUGAGGAAAAAGAGAUCACGAAGAAGCUUGUGGAAGUUCUUAGGACAAACCUGCAAGGGUGUGUCCAUUGACAAGAACUAUUCACAUAGCCCCACUAGAUGCAAGAGCUCUUGGAAAGUCAGUCUACUAGUAUCCCAACAAGAAAAGGAGACACAGAUAUUGGUGUACAAGAGCAUCCUCUGAAUAUCCCCUCCUUCCUCCGUGCUGUGGAUGCUAUGGACACAGUGGUGCAUCUCCCAAUUCUCCCUUUAACGAAGCACUUAUUGCCCCAGCUGUAGGCAGGGCUCAUUGUUGACAGCCUUCAACUGUCAGCCCCUUCAGGAAUCAUCUUAGCUGCAAAGAGCUACCUUGCCCAAGGCUGCAUCAUCCUUCCUGGAAUGGCCCUCAUCCAAUGACUGAUCAAGGUGGGAGUAUAAAUGUCUAGUCAUUUUGACCCCAAACAGGACAAGUCUGAUAUGGAGUAUUUUAGUUCCAGGCCCUUGUAGGACUGGCCAAUUCUGUUGUUGGGUUUGCUUUGCAGCUGGACUUUCCCCUCUGCCCAAUCUGGCUUUCCCCUCCUCUCCAAAGAUAUUCCCAAGAGCACUGCCUAAGAAACAUUCUGCAGGCCGGGUGUGGUGGCUCAUGCUUAUAAUCCCAGCACUUUGGAAGGCCAAGGCAGGAGGAUAGCUUAAGCCCAGAAGUUCAAGACCAACCUGGGCAACAUAGUGAGGCCUUGUCUCUACCAAAAAAAAUUAAUAAUAAUUUUAAAAGAAAUUUUAAAAAGAGAAACAUCCUGUGCACUAAACCUCAAUCUCAGAGCCCAUUUCCUUGGAGAGCCUAACCUGCAACAAUGGGUAAAUACUAUAAGCCCUAUCAAUGGGUAAAUACUAUAAACCUGUCAGGGUUCUUUGAACUUUUCUGUUGUUCUCUGCUGUGGUCCAACACCUGUAAUGAUGCCUGACACACAGUAUGUACUUGCUAAAAUACAUUUUAAGGCCAGGCUUGGUGGUUCAUGCCUGUAAUCCUAGCACUUUGGGAGGCUGAGGUGGGAGGAUCACUUGCGCUCGGGAGUUUGAGACCAACUUGGGCAACAUAGACCUCAUCUCUUUAAAAAAAAAUAAAAAAAUUAAAUUAAAUACAUUUUAAGAUGAAUGUCUAUUUAAUUGUACAUGUAUACUUGUCAUUCUCCUUUGCCACGUUCUCCUCAAGGACAAAGUCAAUGAAGUCAUCUUCCCUGUCACUAGCUCCCAGCUUAGCGCUGGCAAUCAUUACUUAGAAAAGAAAGAUGAUUUUUUUUUUCAGCAGAGGCAAAUACAUAAAUAGUGUAAAUAGUCAGAGAAUGGAGGGAAAGAUCUUCCUAGACCAGGGGCCAGUUUCUACAGAGGAAAGAAAGACUCAGGUAGAAAGCUGGCGGUGGGGGGUGUAAGAGUCUGGUGAUUGUCUUGAGCUGAUGUUUGCUAGUGAGUGUUCUUUUUUCUUAGUGUAUUUUUAUUUGGGAUGGAUGAUGGAAGUGAUUGGGUGUAAGGCCAACUCAAGCCA
This 7956-nucleotide long non-coding RNA is filed under the name Homo sapiens (human). RNAcentral's name for it is "HSALNT0066898". Lineage: Eukaryota; Metazoa; Chordata; Mammalia; Primates; Hominidae. The record is from RNAcentral.